AGAACCAGGUGGCCCUUUUUGCCCAGGCCGCGGACAAGAACCAGAUUAGUUUUACCAGAUCCCUUCCGCCCCCCACCCGCACUACCGCGCCCAAGAGGAUUCAAAAGGGAGCGGCGGCGGCGAGAGGCCCGGCGCCGACCGCAACCCUAGCCCGAAUCAGCACUCGCCGGCCGACGCUUCCGGAGGGAGCCGCUGCGGCGGCCGAGGCCGACGACAAGGCGCGGCGCCCGUUCACGGCCCUCAGCCAGGUCCACGCCGACCUCAUCCUGGCGUGCGUCCCCCAGGAGCAGGCAAGCUGGCUAGAUCUCGCGUCCCCGGCGGUCCCGUUCCCGUCCCUGGGGUUCGGAGGAGAGGGCGGAUGAACGGAGGCGGCGAGGCCAGCGAUUAUGGGAGCUCGGAGGGCGCGCCUCGUCGUCGGCCUCAGCCAGGUCCACGCCGACCUAGCCCUGGCGAGCAAGUUGGCUAGAUCUCGCGGCCCUGGCCGUCCCGUCCCCGUAGCUCCCGCUGGGCCUGGUUGGCUGUUUGCUGAUUGGCCUGGUUACUAAUGUGCGUAGGCCACAACUCCAGGAUGCUAAAAUUGAGUGCGGUCACCACGCAUACAACCAAACAUAGCUACUGCAUGAAAUCACGAUCGUACGUGGUGGAGGCGGCAGCGGCAGCGAAUAGGUCAUUAGGGCAUGGCAGGGCGGCUGCCAUGGGCCGGCGAGGUGGUGAACAGCGACUCAGCGAGGCCGUGAGGGUGAGCAGAUCAGCACAUGGCGUCAAAAAGAAGAUCGAAUAUUUGUAUUAUGUUGCUGACUUCCGUCGAUUGAAAUUGUAUUAGAUCAAAUAUGGGUAUAUAAAGGAAUUGAUCUUGCUGAAAUUAAGAAAGAAUUUCAAAAUAUACCAAGAAGAAUGCCUUUGCCACAGUCAAUAAAGCUUUAUUAUAGGAAUGGAAAGGUCACAUGGUUGAGGAUCUAUGCUUGUUGUGGUUGCAGUCCUGUGGAUCAAGGUGUUGUUCUCGAGUGCUAGAGUAAUUUGGCUAUCCUGUCGGCUCCCAGCUUCCAGGUUCUAAUUAUAUGUGGUUCCAGUCCUGUGGAUCAACAUGUUGUUCUUGGGCUAGAUUAAUUUGGUUAUCCUAUCGGCUCCCAGCUUCCAUUAUAUGAGGACUUGGUGCUUUACUGUCGGUUGUUUUGUUCGGUUCUCUUGUUUUCUGAUUCUUUGCUUCAUGUGUUUCGCAUGUUGAUAUGCCUGUCCUUGUUAGGUUGCGUCGCUUGUGGCUCUGGGGUUUCUUGUUCCUCUUUGAUUAUGAUGUUUGUUGGCUGAUUCUAUUCCGUCUUGCUUUUUCAGGACUGUAUGUUGUUGGUUGGUCUGUGCUGUUCUUCUUUUAUCGUUUAUAGGUGGGACAUGCUCUUUACCCUGCAUUUUUAACAUCCAUAUGAGAUAAAGCAAAAAGGCAGAGACCAAAUAUAAGAGCUGAGGGAUAUGUGGAAGAGGGACGGGAUGAGCUUGAGGCUUACGAGCCAUUCAAAUAAUCAGACGUGCAUGGUUUCUUGAAUUUUCAAUUGUUGAACCUGUUAACCUGAAGAUUUUUUUCUUCUUUGCGGCAAACUCCAGGGUAAAAUAUAAAACAGAAUCUGUCACCUGAAGGCAUUCUGUCGAGGCCUUGCUCAGAGGUUGGAUGAUUACGAGCAAGAUGCAAGGACACAAAAAGCUUGGAAUGCAGAAAGGUUAGACGCGAGCUGCCGCUAGCGCACGGUGGCGUGCUGCAUCUCCCAUCGGUGCUUGCGACAGGAGAACUACAUCCCUGGCCUAUUCAUCUAUGCCUCAGCUGCUGCCUCUCCAAGUAAUGCCAAACCUAUAGGCUAUAACAGGUGUAUGGAUGCCGACAUUCAGACUGGUCAGCUAAGAGACCAGGACACGGAAUCUGGAGAGGUCCUUGGUCAUCAGCUGGUCCAUCAUGAGUGUAAGGUUGAUUUUGACAUGUAGAUGUUGAUGUCCCAAGCUGAAUUUCAAGAUACUCGUGGCAGCAAUUUCCCAUAGAAGUGUUGUGGUUUAGUUCGCUAUACUGUUAGAAUUACGCGAGGUGUGCGUGUAUCAUCGGGGUGGUGCUGAGUCAACUAAAAGUCAGAGGCGCUAAUAUGUGUGCAUUACCUACUGUUGUAUAUUUUUCAAUCAUGCACUCUGUUCUCUUAAUGAUUAACUGUGAAUGAAAUGGAUGAGGGCAAUAAUGUUCAUGUGCUAGAACAGAACUCUGGAAACUUGAAUGGAAAGAACCUUUAAAGCA
Triticum aestivum (bread wheat) is the source of this 2266-nucleotide long non-coding RNA. RefSeq lists it as uncharacterized. The record is from RefSeq and is a predicted model, not a curated record. The transcript has 8 exons. Lineage: Eukaryota; Viridiplantae; Streptophyta; Magnoliopsida; Poales; Poaceae.